RNAcentral lists this ribosomal RNA (253 nucleotides) under uncultured bacterium. Its description in RNAcentral is "partial 16S ribosomal RNA". It matches the Rfam family "Bacterial small subunit ribosomal RNA", at positions 524 to 776 of the family's 1533-position model. The record is from RNAcentral.
UACGGAGGGGACUAGCGUUGUUCGGAAUUACUGGGCGUAAAGCGCACGUAGGCGGAUUUGUUAGUCAGGGGUGAAAUCCCGAGGCUCAACCUCGGAACUGCCUUUGAUACUGCAAAUCUCGAGUCCGGAAGAGGUGAGUGGAAUUCCUAGUGUAGAGGUGAAAUUCGUAGAUAUUAGGAAGAACACCAGUGGCGAAGGCGGCUCACUGGUCCGGUACUGACGCUGAGGUGCGAAAGCGUGGGGAGCAAACAGG